RNAcentral lists this long non-coding RNA (465 nucleotides) under Linum usitatissimum (flax). Its description in RNAcentral is "long non-coding RNA (LUSI_LNC001649)". Lineage: Eukaryota; Viridiplantae; Streptophyta; Magnoliopsida; Malpighiales; Linaceae. The record is from RNAcentral.
UGAUUUCUUGGGAGUUGUUGCUGCUGUUAUGGUUGGUUUAGUUGUUGGCUUUGCCGUCAUCUUUGCCAUUGCCAUCCGUUCUUUCAACUUCCAGAGAAGAUAGAUUUACAUUUCCUUUCACUUUUUCUUUAUUUCUGUCAAUUGUUGAACAAUAAGACACCAUUUGAGGGAUUUCUUCUAUUUGUAACUAUCUUGGACGUGUUAAUCUUUACGUUACCGGAUCGAGAGAUCAAUGGCUUAUCUGUCUGUAGUGUACACGAGACUGGUUCCAAGCCAUUUGGCUUGAAACCUGCACAAGAAAUGAACAAAUGUUGCUGCAACCACAACGUUAACAUUCAUAUUUCUGGAAUCAAUUUUGCUUGAUUGGUAGUUUGGCACUUUGGUAUAACAUUCUUCUCUUUUAAUAUUGGAAUGAUUGAUUUGCCGGCUGUUGGGAGAGGUUCGUUGAAGGAUAUUACGAGUUAG